GACGAACGCUGGCGGCGUGCCUAAUACAUGCAAGUCGAGCGAAGUUUUUCUGGUGCUUGCACUAGAAAAACUUAGCGGCGAACGGGUGAGUAACACGUAAAGAACCUGCCUCAUAGACUGGGACAACUAUUGGAAACGAUAGCUAAUACCGGAUAACAGUAUUUCUCGCAUGAGAGAUAUUUAAAAGUUGGUUAUGCUAACACUAUGAGAUGGCUUUGCGGUGCAUUAGCUAGUUGGUGGGGUAAAGGCCCACCAAGGCGACGAUGCAUAGCCGACCUGAGAGGGGGAUCGGCCACACUGGGACUGAGACACGGCCCAGACUCCUACGGGAGGCAGCAGUAGGGAAUCUUCCGCAAUGGGCGAAAGCCUGACGGAGCAACGCCGCGUGAGUGAAGAAGGAUUUCGGUUCGUAAAGCUCUGUUGUUAGGGAAGAAUGGAUAUGUAGUAACUAUACAUGUAAGAGACGGUACCUAACCAGAAAGCCACGGCUAACUACGUG
This 499-nucleotide ribosomal RNA is filed under the name uncultured bacterium. RNAcentral's name for it is "partial 16S ribosomal RNA". It matches the Rfam family "Bacterial small subunit ribosomal RNA", at positions 28 to 507 of the family's 1533-position model. The record is from RNAcentral.